This 233-nucleotide long non-coding RNA is filed under the name Mytilus galloprovincialis (Mediterranean mussel). The record is from RNAcentral. Lineage: Eukaryota; Metazoa; Mollusca; Bivalvia; Mytilida; Mytilidae.
UGUAUGUUCAUUACACAUAUCCCUUUUUCACAUCAAGGUUUUAAAAAAUAUUGAACUUCACAAAGAAAAUAGUUGUACAAAUUUCUGACAAUAUGCUAGGUUUCCUUUGCAGUUUUGGUAAACUUUUUUAAAACUACAAAUAUGUAGUAAAAAUCUAUGUGUAAAAUGACUCUCUUUGAUGCUGAUAAGACCCUUUCAAGAUAAUGUUGAAGCAGUAACAUUUAGUGCAAAAU